GAGCCCAGGUAAACUACAACUCCCAGUAACGCCACAGUGAUGGGAGUUGCCCGGGAGGUGAUGGACAGCGCGCCGCCUUACGACCAGCGGCGGGCCUGUGGUCGCUGUAGGCGGGCGGCGCGGCGGGACGGGAAAGCGUUUCCGGGAGAGACCUUCCGUGGAGGACGUCGCCACAGGCUCAGGCACUUAGAAAAUUAAGGGGAGCACCUAAGAGAGCGAUAGAUCUCCGUGUUUCCAGCAAAGCAGGGAGCACAGAGACUCAAAGCUAACCUAGAGCCCGCCGGAUGCUGUAGGAGGUGAGGAAGCUAAAGCCCGAGACUUCCAAGAUCACACAACCACUUAAUAUGCCAGACAAGGACCCAACCUUCUUUUUCAUUUAUGACAGCCCUUUGGCUUGAAGCAUGCCGGAAGGUCUCAUCGUUCUUCCUAAAAUAUGUGUCAUUGAGGAUAGUCACAAUAUUUCCUAUAUUUUUAUUCUAAUAUAGUAUGUAGUACCACAUUGUUGAUUGAAUAAAUAAAUGAAUCUUUUACCACA
Molecule: long non-coding RNA, 535 nt
Organism: Callithrix jacchus (white-tufted-ear marmoset)
Lineage: Eukaryota; Metazoa; Chordata; Mammalia; Primates; Cebidae
Source: RefSeq, a predicted model, not a curated record